UUCAAAAUCCUCUGGAGUUGCAGGGAACCUUCAAAGGAGGAAUUAAUGGGCGUCUGGAUUGGAUGUCCAAUAAGAGGAUUGAUUAGUGGCAUAUGGGUUGGAACGACCGCAUUUUUAUUCGGGAAACCCCAGCAGUGAAGCACACUGAGUUACCCAGGGACAUUGUAAUUGGCCAGCAAACUAGGUAUUGCUGAGGUAUAAGAAGAAGAUGAAAAAGAAAGAGAAAGAAAAAGAAGUUAUGCCUCUUCUUCUCCAGUCUCUACACGCAGACUUGACUUGAACUUGCUUGAUGAUUUCUCCUGGUCAAACCGAAUUUUUCUCUUUAGAAAUAGUCAACCUUUUUCCUUUUGGAAGGAUUAGUUAAGAUUUAAGAAUUUCAUCAUAACUAGAAAUAUCUUCUCUCGUUUUUAUGGAUUUCCAAAUCUUAACAAACUCUUUUACAUAAAUAAAAAAAAAAAAAAGGAACGGUUAACUGGUUGCGACGUUGCGUUCUCUAUGCUGAUUGCUGACUCAAAUCCUUCGCGACGAGUCAGAUUUCAGCCUGCAUGGAUUUAAAUUCUCUCCAAUUCUCAUGUAAUUCUUUCUAUGCAUGUGAUACAUUUUUAAAAUCCAAUGAUGGUAGAAGUUUCGGAUUAAAAUGGAUUUGAAUUUCAACAAAUAUUAUAACCAUUAAAUUUUGAAAAUAUUACGCAUGCACAAAGGAAUUGCUGAUACCGUUUUCAUG
Long non-coding RNA from Macadamia integrifolia, 724 nucleotides. RefSeq lists it as uncharacterized. NCBI's taxonomy places the organism in Eukaryota, Viridiplantae, Streptophyta, Magnoliopsida, Proteales, Proteaceae. The transcript has 4 exons. The record is from RefSeq and is a predicted model, not a curated record.